This 94-nucleotide microRNA precursor is filed under the name Canis lupus familiaris (dog). RNAcentral describes it as "mir-8799 microRNA precursor family". It matches the Rfam family "mir-8799 microRNA precursor family". Lineage: Eukaryota; Metazoa; Chordata; Mammalia; Carnivora; Canidae. The record is from Rfam by way of RNAcentral. RNAcentral also lists the same sequence under 1 other name.
GAGGGGAGCGCCGGAUCUUGGGCUGUGUCCCCCACCGCCCUGGGCUCUGGGGCCUGCGCCACUGGAAUCUCGCUCCCGGGACUUGCAGCCCCCU